GCAGAUGUAGCUCAGUGAGAGAGUGCCUGUCUAGAAUUCACAAGAUUCUGAGCUCAAGCCUCAGCACUGCA
RNAcentral lists this transfer RNA (71 nucleotides) under Dipodomys ordii (Ord's kangaroo rat). It matches the Rfam family "tRNA". From Rfam's summary of the family: Transfer RNA (tRNA) molecules are approximately 80 nucleotides in length. Lineage: Eukaryota; Metazoa; Chordata; Mammalia; Rodentia; Heteromyidae. The record is from Rfam by way of RNAcentral.